RNAcentral lists this long non-coding RNA (557 nucleotides) under Anser brachyrhynchus (Pink-footed goose). RNAcentral describes it as "lncRNA (ENSABRG00000013480.1)". Lineage: Eukaryota; Metazoa; Chordata; Aves; Anseriformes; Anatidae. The record is from RNAcentral.
UGCCUUCUGGUUGCCUGAACUACAAUAAAAAUAAAAUUGCCUUUGAGCAAGACUCAUCCCCACCUACCUCAAGAUAAUAAUAUUCCAGAGAUACAAUAGCAAGAGCAGAUUGUUAGAACAGAUUUACAGUAUUUUUUAGAUUAAUUCCAUUUGAAAAAUAUAAUAUUACCUGUUUCUCUAGGCUUACCUUUUUGCUCCUUUCACAUUAGAAACGUCAUUUCCUUGCUUUUCUGGAGAUCUGGCUGCAUAAAAUCCAGCACCAUGAACUAGACCUAGUGUGGCACUUCUCUCUUCCACAUAAUCUCUAUUGAUUAUCCUAAAGCAAGACUUGAAGAAGUACAGAUAGGCUGUUGGGUUUGAAGACCUCUCUCAGUGAACAAAGGGAAAAAGAAUUCCUGCAGUGUGCAUUUAGUACAGUGGUGGGGUACAGAGUUUCAGAUCACCUGCAGCCACUUUAGAGGUGGGUAUAAUCAGAAAUCUGAGACGGAAGACUGAAGUCUGUGGAAAGGCAACGGCACAGAUGGAAUAAAAACUUGAGCAGUCCGAAUUUUUAGACA